CCUACGGGUGGCAGCAGUAGGGAAUCUUCCACAAUGGGCGAAAGCCUGAUGGAGCAACGCCGCGUGGGUGAAGAAGGUCUUCGGAUCGUAAAACCCUGUUGUUAGAGAAGAAAGUGCGUGAGAGUAACUGUUCACGUUUCGACGGUAUCUAACCAGAAAGCCACGGCUAACUACGUGCCAGCAGCCGCGGUAAUACGUAGGUGGCAAGCGUUAUCCGGAUUUAUUGGGAGUAAAGGGAACGCAGGCGGUCUUUUAAGUCUGAUGUGAAAGCGUUCGGCUUAACCGGAGUAGUGCAUUGGAAACUGGGAGACUUGAGUGCAGAUGAGGAGAGUGGAACUCCAUGUGUAGCGGUGAAAUGCGUAGAUAUAUGGAAGAACACCAGUGGCGAAAGCGGCUUUCUAGUCUGUCACUGACGUUGAGGUUCGAAAGUGUGGGUAGCAAACAGGAUUAGAUACCCUUGUAGUC
This 465-nucleotide ribosomal RNA is filed under the name uncultured bacterium. RNAcentral's name for it is "partial 16S ribosomal RNA". It matches the Rfam family "Bacterial small subunit ribosomal RNA", at positions 338 to 795 of the family's 1533-position model. The record is from RNAcentral.